RNAcentral lists this ribosomal RNA (301 nucleotides) under uncultured bacterium. RNAcentral describes it as "partial 16S ribosomal RNA". It matches the Rfam family "Bacterial small subunit ribosomal RNA", at positions 509 to 807 of the family's 1533-position model. The record is from RNAcentral.
CAGCAGCCGCGGGAAUACAGAGGGUGCGAGCGUUAAUCGGAUUUACUGGGCGUAAAGCGUGCGUAGGCGGCUUCUUAAGUCGGAUGUGAAAUCCCUGAGCUUAACUUAGGAAUUGCAUUCGAUACUGGGAAGCUAGAGUAUGGGAGAGGAUGGUAGAAUUCCAGGUGUAGCGGUGAAAUGCGUAGAGAUCUUGAGGAAUACCGAUGGCGAAGGCAGCCAUCUGGCCUAAUACUGACGCUGAGGUACGAAAGCAUGGGGAGCAAACAGGAUUAGAUACCCCUGUAGUCCCUGUCUCUUAUAC